GCCGAUGUUUGUUCAAGUCACCCUGAACAAUGGCCUCAAUUUCCAUGGCAGCAACCUCACCAUCACCAAGGUCAACUGCGUGACAAGUACCACCCCACGCCCCACUACUACACCAAAGCCAACUGAACCUGUCAGAACACCUAAACCCACUAGACCACCGGAACCACCUAGACCACCAAAACCUGUAAGACCACCAAAACCGGUUGAGCCACCAGCACCUAAACUUGUCAAAACAACAAAACCUGUCAAAACAACAGAACCUGUUAAAACAACGGAACCUGUUAAAACAACGGAACCUGUCAUCCCUCCAAAACUCAUUACCUCAGAACCCCGAAGGAGCCACCGCCUGUGCUGCAGCCGGAACAGAAGCCUACGCCAUCGCCGCCACCGCCACCAGCACCUAUAAACGCAUGUCCCAGAGUGAUGGUUUAUUGCUGUGCGUGCAGAGGGG
Long non-coding RNA from Cynocephalus volans (Philippine flying lemur), 451 nucleotides. RefSeq lists it as uncharacterized. The record is from RefSeq and is a predicted model, not a curated record. The transcript has 4 exons. NCBI's taxonomy places the organism in Eukaryota, Metazoa, Chordata, Mammalia, Dermoptera, Cynocephalidae.